Molecule: long non-coding RNA, 600 nt
Organism: Ictalurus punctatus (channel catfish)
Lineage: Eukaryota; Metazoa; Chordata; Actinopteri; Siluriformes; Ictaluridae
Source: Ensembl
GGUCGGAUGCGGUUGUCAAUCAGGCCGUACAUGGCAGUGAAAGGUGAGCUAUUUUUAGAGGGCUAUAUAACGGCCUCGGCGCUCUCGCCUCGGACACAACGGCCACUGAGCUAAGAGCGAGACCGGAGAGUUACUUCCCUAAGAUAUGGUCUUCCUGCCAGUGCGAAUUAGCUGGAGAGGGGGUUGGAAGAGAAUGAUGGACACCUCUAGCCGAUGGGCAGGCGAUUCUCAGCAUGCCAGAUUUAUGCGCCCAGAGGGGGGGGUCAGGUGUGAGAGGAGUGGUAUAAGUGAGUGAGCGGUCGAAAAGAGGGCAGGUGUGGAAGUGUGCGCAGGGCAGGUGCAAUUGUGUCACAGCUGGACUCUAGAAGCCUUCAUGCCUUACUUUGAGUUGCUCUCCCACUGCUAACCCUCUGUCUCCCUGUGUAUGAAACAGCUGGUGCUCACUGUACCCUCUCUGGCCUCGCAGGACCCUACACCUCACAUACUGGGCCAUGGUUAUAGUACACACACACACACACAGCACAAGAGAGAGAGAAAGAGGGGGGGGGGGGACGUUGCUGUAGAUAGUAUGCCUUGGGGUGUUAGAUUCUUUCUUUAACC